GGAAUAUUGGACAAUGGGGGAAACCCUGAUCCAGCCAUGCCGCGUGAGUGAUGAAGGCCCUCGGGUCGUAAAGCUCUGUGGGGAGCCACGAACCCCCGCCGGUUAAUACCCGGCGGGCUGACGGUAGCUCCUUAGCAAGCACCGGCUAACUCCGUGCCAGCAGCCGCGGUAAUACGGAGGGUGCAAACGUUGCUCGGAAUCAUUGGGCGUAAAGCGCACGUAGGCGGUGUCGUAAGUCGGAUGUGAAAGCCCUAGGCUUAACCAAGGAAGUGCAUUCGAAACUGCGAGACUUGAGUACAGGAGAGGGUCGCGGAAUUCUCGGUGUAGAGGUGAAAUUCGUAGAUAUCGGGAGGAACACCAGUGGCGAAGGCGGCGACCUGGACUGAUACUGACGCUGAGGUGCGAAAGCGUGGGGAGCAAAC
This 422-nucleotide ribosomal RNA is filed under the name uncultured bacterium. RNAcentral describes it as "bacterial SSU rRNA". It matches the Rfam family "Bacterial small subunit ribosomal RNA", at positions 358 to 773 of the family's 1533-position model. The record is from RNAcentral.